Long non-coding RNA from Neocloeon triangulifer, 3452 nucleotides. RefSeq lists it as uncharacterized. Lineage: Eukaryota; Metazoa; Arthropoda; Insecta; Ephemeroptera; Baetidae. The transcript has 7 exons. The record is from RefSeq and is a predicted model, not a curated record.
CUUGAUUUGGCCAACGGCGAAGGUCAACGGGCGAACCAAGAAUUUCAGAUUUGUCGUGAAACGAGAAAGUUCGUUUGCAAACGAGACAAGGAAAAGUCAAAUAUAUUCGCGAAUUCGCAGUUUUCCAACCGUUCGCAACGCCGGAUGCCGGAUCGUCAAUAUUUUGCACUCUCCUGGCAAACACAUAAUGUACGCCAGGGUGAAAGCGGACAAGCGGAUGUUUGAUUUGGAACCGGCACGUCCUCGUCGUCCACCAAUUUAUGUACACACUUACAUACGAGGUGCACUUGAAGAAGAACAUGCUGCGCGGCGCUUCCAGCUAGCGGGACAGGUAUAUGGACAAAUUCUUCGUGGUGAUCCCGAGAAAAGUGCAGGUCAUGGCCACGUUGUGCUGUGACAACUGCCGAGCGUGAAUUUACAGCCAGGACAAGACUGGAAUCCGGCUGACCGCGCUAGAGGAGUUCUCGUCCAAUAUAUUUGCAGGCCCUGCACGAGGAAAACUUGGCCGUUUGUCAAAACGCCAACGUGCAGGUCGUCUCAAAGAUUGCUUUGACGAUGAUGACGAGGACAAUGUCUGCAUUAAAGCGCAUUGUCCUCAAUGCCAACGAGGAGGCUCCUUUGAAUUUGAGGCGAUCAAAGACCCGAGGCUGCUGGGAGGAUGACGACUUCAUCGAGUUACGCAGCAGCAGCUUCCAGCUCAGGUCUCAUAGUUUAUUGCGAACAGAAAAAAAGUUAUCUAUCGUCAAGAUUUCUUUUGCAGCCAUCAUUCUACAGUCAAACGCAAGAACUGCUACUAAAGAUGAGAAGUGAAGUUUUUUUAAGGGUAAGAAAAACUGGAUCACCGGCUGUUGACCAUGGCAUUUUCAAUUUAUACAAAAUACAGUCAUUUCAAGGAAAGAGAAAACUGCUUCAAAGUCACAUCAAGAAUUUAGUUUAAAAAUUAAGAUACAAAUCGUGCAAAUAAGAUUUAAAAAUUUAUCUAGAAGAAGCUCAAUUUCUAUUAUAAGUCAGAUUGAAUUGUGAAGGCACCACCUAACGAAGGAUAUUAAUUUUUUCUACAAUACGAAAGUGUGACUGUCGGUUUUGAAUCUAUAGCUCACUAAACGAAUAACCCAGUGUGAGCUACUACUGAUUUAAGCACCAAAUGAAUGCGCAUGUAUUUGUGUUCUUGCAAUGAAAGUGAAUACUGAUAUUAAUCUGCAGUUUAACGUUUGUUUACCGUAUAUAAUAACGAACUUAGCAUAAAUCAAAUACCUAAGCUUUCAAAUUUGGAAGUUGCGUCGGCACUUCCUCAUUAGAAUUCAAGAACGCAUAUAUUAUUGUCACCUCUAAAGUAAAAAAGAGCAGAGAUUUUGAUUCCAACCGUUGGCAACGCCAGAUCGUCAAUAUUUUGCACUCCUGUAGCACUUUCGUCUUUCCAGCGCAUCUCGUUAUAGAUAAUUUCUUAGGACAAACACAUAAUAAUGUACGCCAUCAGGAUGAAAGCGGAUGUUUGAUUUGACCGUCCUCGUCGUCCACCAUAUUAAGUACACGUGUACGAGGUGCACUUGACGAAGAACAUGCUGCGCGGCGCUGUCAGCUAGCGGGACAGAUAUGUGGACAAAUUCUUCGUGGUGAUCCUGAGCAAAGUGCAGGCCAUGGCCACAUUGUGCUGUGACAACUGCUGAGCGCGAAUUUACAGCCAGGCAAGACUGGAAUCCGGUUGACCGCACUAGAGGAGUUCUUGUCCAAUAGUUGCAGGCCCUCCUGUACGAGGCCGUUUGUGAAAACACCAAUGUGGUUGUCUCCAAGAUUGCUUUAUGGUGAUGAUGACGAGGACAAUGUCUGCAUUGAAGCGCAUUGUCCUCAAUGCCAACGAGGAGGCUCCUUCGAGUUUGAGGCGAUCAAAGACCCGAGGCUGCUGGGAGGAUGACGACUUCAUCGAGUUACGCAGCAGCAGCUUCCAGCUCAGCCAUAAUUAUAUCAAUUCUACAGGCAAACGCAAGAACUCAUGCUACUGAAGAUGAGAAGUAAAGUUUUUUGAAGGGGUAAGAAAAACUGGAUCAACGACUGUUGACCAUGGAGUUUUCAAUUUAUAGAAAAUACAGUCAUUUCUCAAGGAAAAGAGAAAACUCUGCUUAAAGUUAUGUCAAGAAUUUAGUUUAAAAGUUAAGAUACCAUCGCACAAAUCGAGCAAAUAAGAUUUUAAAAUUUAUCUAGAGGUUAAGUUCAAUUCUAUUAUAAGUCAGAUUGAAUGUGUAAAGGCACCACCUAACGUAGAAUAUUAAUUUUGUUUCUACAAUAUAUUGUAGAAACAGGUUCACUUAUAUAUAUAUAUAAGUGAACCUGUCUGUUUUGAAUCUAUAGCUCGAUCACCAAACGAAUAACCUAGUGUGAGCUGUGAGCUACUCUGAUUUAGGCACCAAUUAAAUGAGUGCGCGUGUCUUGUGUUCCUGCAAUGAAAGUGAAUACUGACAUUAAUCUGCAGUUUAACGUUUAUUUGCCGUAUUAUAACGAACUUUGCAUAAAUCAAAUAGGCUUUCAAUAUGGAAGUUGCGUCGCUACUUCCUCAUUUGAAUUAUUGUCAACUAUAUAGUAAAAUUAAAGAGCAGAUCGAGAUUUCGAUUCCACACCUGCUGCGCGCUGAAACCUCGUUUUAAGAGUGAGAGUAUGUUUGGGAUUUUUAUUCCCACAUCCUCGGAACAAUACUCUGUAAGGCAUAAGGAAAACUACAGGACUUAUUGUUUGCUGCACAUACGGCGUUAAUGCAGAUGAGAUGCAUUAAAGCACACGAUUGUGUUGCCUUUUACCGCGUGUGCCGAUUGACGCCGCUGCUGAGAAACAAUUUCUAUUUUUUUCGUCAUUUAAGAUGCUUUUUGCUGUAGCUUGCAUGAAUUAAAUUAUUUCUGCCAGUUUCGUUGAGUGCGAGAAAGAUAAACGCUAAAGGUCCAGUUACAAUAUUUAUAUGCUAAUCGCCUUACCACUUUUGGAUGUGAUUUUUUUUUUAACUAAUAACUGCUCGCAGAGAGGAUUAUCCUAUUUACUAAUGAGUAUUUUAUAACUAUAUUAAACAGCUUUUGAAUGUUAAUGGUUUUUUAAGUUGCAUUCAUUUAUGGCAAAAGGUGCAAAACUAAAUAAUAUAUAUUAGAUGUUGAUUAUAUAUUAAUUUAAAAAUAUAAUUUAUCGUAAUUUAUAUUGUUGGUAUUUAUUGUCUCAUGAGGCAGCCCAACACACAAAACAUUACAAACAAUAUUCUGAAAUGUAAAACGCAUGUUUUAAAAUUUUGCAUAUAGUGCCUAUAAUUUCUUUUGAUGGAAUUUUUAUAUAACUCUUGUUAAAAUUCUAAAUGGUUUUGAUUUGUUUAAUUAAUAAAUUUAAAUGUGCUGGAUUUAUAAGGGAAAAAAUUCCUGAAGCUUUAAUUCAAAAAUUAAUUUAAUAGUUCAAAACGGAGCAGUGAUUGAUAUGUAAAUUUU